Molecule: non-coding RNA, 935 nt
Organism: Camellia sinensis
Lineage: Eukaryota; Viridiplantae; Streptophyta; Magnoliopsida; Ericales; Theaceae
Source: RefSeq, a predicted model, not a curated record
AUUGUUACAAAAUCCAUUCCCACCGACAACCCACUCCCGACGACGGCGAGAAGUUCUCAGAUUUCGGUAAUCUUCUUCAACUAGUCUUCCUCCUCCUCUUCCAGUCCUUUGUUGAGAUCACUUCUUUCUCUCAGAUUUUGGUAAUCUGGUAAUCUUCUUUCUCCUUCAACUAGUCUUCCUAUUACAGUCCUUUGUUCAGAUUUCAGUAAUCUUUAAGGUAGCAGACAUUUCUGGGGUUGCUUUUGAACUGAGAUUAUUUGAUACAGCUUGUACUGUUAGCUUUGAACAAAGUUUCUUCAAGUUGUUUUGUGAAGGCCAAGCAUGUGAUCCGAAUCUUUUAACUUUUUGCCAAAUUAAAAAAUGGCUUCUUCUUCUAUUACUAACAAUAGCAACAUAAGAUUAAAACCGAGGCUGUGCAAUUGUGGAAGAACAACUGCCAUAUAUAUUUUAAGAACCAAUGAUCAUGGAAAUCAAGGGCAUUUGUUCUUUGUAUGCCCAUCAAAAUAUUAACAGUGGCCACUGUAAUUACUUCAAGUUCGUGGAUGAAGAUGAUGAAGACGUUACGUCCACAAUCCGUUCCAUCACUAGAGCUUGCGAUGCUAUAACAAUAGAAGACUUUAAUGAUCUAAGGGCGAGCCUUCAUGAGAUAGAAAAUGAAAAUGAUGAAUAUCGUCGAAGACUUGAAAGGAUCGAAAAUGAAAAUGAUGACUAUGGUCGAAGGCUUGAAAGGAUUGAAAAUCAUUUGAAGGAGAUGGUGUAUGUCAUUGUAAUUUUUAUGAUUUUGUACUUUAUGAUGUAACUUAUUGUUUGGUUGGCUUCGGAAAAUUUGACUAAAGUUAUUAUGGAUUUUAUAAAACUUAACGGAUGUAUUGUCGGCAUUUAUAGCAUUUUGGCUUUAAUGAAUAGAUGCAAUGAUUUUAGAUGGUUUUUAUAAA